Long non-coding RNA from Oncorhynchus tshawytscha (Chinook salmon), 491 nucleotides. NCBI's taxonomy places the organism in Eukaryota, Metazoa, Chordata, Actinopteri, Salmoniformes, Salmonidae. The record is from Ensembl.
GGUAAGUUGAUAUCCCUCUAGUGGUGUGGGGGCAGUCCUUUGGCAAAGUGGGUGGGGUUAUAUCCUUCCUGUUUGGCCCUGUCCGGGGGUGUCAUCGGAUGGGGCCACAGUGUCUCCUGACCCCUCCUGUCUCAGCCUCCAGUAUUUAUGCUGCAGUAGUUUAUGUGUCGGGGGGCUAGGGUCAGUUUGUUAUAUCUGGAGUACUUCUCCUGUCCUAUCCGGUGUCCUGUGUGAAUUUUAAGUAUGCUCUCUCUAAUUUUCUCUUUCUCUCUUUCUUUCUCUCUCUCGGAGGACCUGAGCCCUCGGACCAUGCCUCAGGACUACCUGACAUGAUGACUCCUUGCUGUCCCCAGUCCACCUGGCCGUGCUGCUGCUCCAGUUUCAACUGUUCUGCCUGACACAGGGUUCUUCCUGUUGGGGCUCUUCCCAGGAAUGAUCAGAGACUGGGGAGGAGUGGCUAGGCACUGCUGCGACACCUACUGGGAUUUUCC